UACGUAGGGGGCAAGCGUUGUCCGGAAUUAUUGGGCGUAAAGCGCGGCGCAGGCGGUCAAUUUAAGUCUGGUGUUUAAGGCUGGGGCUCAACCCCAGUUCGCACUGGAAACUGGUUGACUUGAGUGCAGAAGAGGAAAGUGGAAUUCCGCGUGUAGUGGUGAAAUGCGUAGAGAUGCGGAGGAACACCAGUGGCGAAGGCGACUACCUGGCCUGUUCGUUGACGCUGAGGCGCGAAAGCUAGGGGAGCAAACGGG
This 255-nucleotide ribosomal RNA is filed under the name uncultured bacterium. RNAcentral describes it as "partial 16S ribosomal RNA". It matches the Rfam family "Bacterial small subunit ribosomal RNA", at positions 524 to 776 of the family's 1533-position model. The record is from RNAcentral.